AUACGGAGGAUCCGAGCGUUAUCCGGAUUUAUUGGGCUUAAAGGGUGCGCAGGCGGCCAUUUAAGUCAGCGGUUAAAUCGUGGGGCUCAACCCCAUUCUGCCGUUGAUACUGGGUGGCUUGAUUGCGGUCGAGGUUGGCGGAAUUCGUUGUGUAGCGGUGAAAUGCAUAGAUAUGACGAAGAACACCGAUUGCGUAGGCAGCUGACCAGACCGCAAAUGACGCUCAUGCACGAAAGUGCGGGGAUCGAACAGGAUUAGAUACCCUGGUAGUCCGCACAGUAAACGAUGAAUACUUGUUUUCGGCGAUAUAAUGUCGGAGGCAAAGCGAAAGCGAUAAGUAUUCCACCUGGGGAGUACGCCGGCAACGGUGAAACUCAAAUGAAUUGGCGGGG
RNAcentral lists this ribosomal RNA (392 nucleotides) under uncultured bacterium. Its description in RNAcentral is "partial 16S ribosomal RNA". It matches the Rfam family "Bacterial small subunit ribosomal RNA", at positions 523 to 918 of the family's 1533-position model. The record is from RNAcentral.